GAUGUUAAAAACGUGAGCACAGCUCUGUAAGUGCUUUCUCCAAGAGACGACACUCACAGACUGUAUCUCCGCUAUGAUGUGGAUCCAAUCCAACCUUCCUCUGAGCUAAGCCAUAUCCUGGUCUGGCUACAUGUGCCAUUUGGCGCCUUCCAUCAGGGUUAAACAAACUGGAUACAUGAAUGGAACCUCAUGUGAAGGAACAUUUCAUUUGCAAACCUUAAUUUACAAUGGAAUAUCUGACUGAUCAUCAAGCAAACAGGGGAUCAGUUGAGGGUACUCCAGCUUAGCUAUG
Pygocentrus nattereri (red-bellied piranha) is the source of this 292-nucleotide long non-coding RNA. The record is from Ensembl. NCBI's taxonomy places the organism in Eukaryota, Metazoa, Chordata, Actinopteri, Characiformes, Serrasalmidae.